AUACGGAGGUGGCGAGCGUUGCCCGGAAUCACUGGGCGUAAAGGGGGCGUAGGCGGCCGGGCGAGUCGGACGUGAAAGCCCGGGGCUCAACCCCGGAAUUGCGUUCGAUACUGUCUGGCUUGAGGUCCGGAGAGGCCGGCGGAAUUCCCGGUGUAGGGGUGAAAUCCGUAGAUAUCGGGAGGAACACCGGUGGCGAAGGCGGCCGGCUGGACGGCACCUGACGCUGAGGCCCGAAAGCGUGGGGAGCAAACCGGAUUAGAAACCCUAGUAGUCC
This 274-nucleotide ribosomal RNA is filed under the name uncultured bacterium. RNAcentral describes it as "partial 16S ribosomal RNA". It matches the Rfam family "Bacterial small subunit ribosomal RNA", at positions 523 to 796 of the family's 1533-position model. The record is from RNAcentral.